RNAcentral lists this ribosomal RNA (497 nucleotides) under uncultured bacterium. RNAcentral describes it as "partial 16S ribosomal RNA". It matches the Rfam family "Bacterial small subunit ribosomal RNA", at positions 28 to 507 of the family's 1533-position model. The record is from RNAcentral.
GAUGAACGCUGGCGGCGUGCCUAAUACAUGCAAGUCGAGCGAACGGACGAGAAGCUUGCUUUUCUGAUGUUAGCGGCGGACGGGUGAGUAACACGUGGAUAACCUACCUAUAAGACUGGGAUAACUUCGGGAAACCGGAGCUAAUACCGGAUAAUAUUUUGAACCGCAUGGUUCAAAAGUGAAAGACGGUCUUGCUGUCACUUAUAGAUGGAUCCGCGCUGCGUUAGCUAGUUGGUAAGGUAACGGCUUACCAAGGCAACGAUGCAUAGCCGACCUGAGAGGGUGAUCGGCCACACUGGAACUGAGACACGGUCCAGACUCCUACGGGAGGCAGCAGUAGGGAAUCUUCCGCAAAGGGCGAAAGCCUGACGGAGCAACGCCGCGUGAGUGAUGAAGGUCUUCGGAUCGUAAAACUCUGUUAUUAGGGAAGAACAUAUGUGUAAGUAACUGUGCACAUCUUGACGGUACCUAAUCAGAAAGCCACGGCUAACUACGUG